This is a long non-coding RNA of Polyodon spathula (Mississippi paddlefish), 250 nucleotides long. RefSeq lists it as uncharacterized. Lineage: Eukaryota; Metazoa; Chordata; Actinopteri; Acipenseriformes; Polyodontidae. The transcript has 2 exons. The record is from RefSeq and is a predicted model, not a curated record.
CAUCCAUAGACCCAGGGCUGAUGUUAAGUCCAUACAUUGUUAUUGAUCGAGUUGAGAAGCAGUUGGAACUUGCUGCUUUAAAGAGACAGAUACGGAGCAAAGGCAGUCAGUCUCCAGGGUCAAAGAAGCAAUGUACCUUUCAAAACAUGACAACCAAACUGAUGAAUAUUGUCAAGAACAAAUUCUUAAUAGAUGUACAGACGUUCUACAAAAAGAAGAACAAAGCUAGAGGGACUCCACAUACAAAGGU